GAUGAAGAACGCAGCGAAAUGCGAUAAGUAAUGUGAAUUGCAGAAUUCAGUGAAUCAUCGAAUCUUUGAACGCACAUUGCGCCCGCCAGUAUUCUGGCGGGCAUGCCUGUCUGAGCGUCAUUUCAACCCUCAUGCCCCUAGGGCGUGGUGUUGGGGAUCGGCCAAAGCCCGCGAGGGACGGCCGGCCCCUAAAUCUAGUGGCGGACCCGUCGUGGCCUCCUCUGCGAAGUAGUGAUAUUCCGCAUCGGAGAGCGAUGGGCCCCUGCCGUUAAACCCCCAACUUUCCAAGGUUGACCUCAGAUCAGGUAGGAAUACCCGCUGAACUUAAGCAUAUCAAUAAGCGGAGGA
Molecule: unclassified non-coding RNA, 348 nt
Filed under: soil metagenome
Description: partial contains 5.8S ribosomal RNA, internal transcribed spacer 2, and large subunit ribosomal RNA
Rfam family: 5.8S ribosomal RNA (bases 1-120)
Source: RNAcentral